Molecule: ribosomal RNA, 435 nt
Filed under: uncultured bacterium
Lineage: Bacteria
Description: partial 16S ribosomal RNA
Rfam family: Bacterial small subunit ribosomal RNA
Source: RNAcentral
AGCGAACGCUGGCGGCAGGCUUAACACAUGCAAGUCGAGCGGGCACUUUCGGGUGUCAGCGGCGGACGGGUGAGUAACGCGUGGGAACGUGCCCUCUGGUUCGGAAUAACUCAGGGAAACUUGAGCUAAUACCGGAUACGCCCUUUUGGGGAAAGGCUUGCUGCCGGAGGAUCGGCCCGCGUCUGAUUAGCUAGUUGGUGAGGUAACGGCUCACCAAGGCGACGAUCAGUAGCUGGUCUGAGAAGAUGAUCAGCCACACUGGGACUGAGACACGGCCCAGACUCCUACGGGAGGCAGCAGUGGGGAAUAUUGGACAAUGGGCGCAAGCCUGAUCCAGCCAUGCCGCGUGAGUGAUGAAGGUCUUAGGGUUGUAAAGCUCUUUUAUCCGGGACGAUAAUGACGGUACCGGAGGAAUAAGCCCCGGCUAACUUCGUG